Molecule: ribosomal RNA, 443 nt
Filed under: uncultured bacterium
Lineage: Bacteria
Description: partial 16S ribosomal RNA
Rfam family: Bacterial small subunit ribosomal RNA
Source: RNAcentral
CCUACGGGGUGCAGCAGUGGGGAAUAUUGGACAAUGGGGGGAACCCUGAUCCAGCGACGCCGCGUGAGUGAAGAAGUAUUUCGGUAUGUACAGCUCUAUCAGCAGGGAAGAAAGAAAUGACGGUACCUGACUAAGAAGCCCCGGCUAACUACGUGCCAGCAGCCGCGGUAAUACGUAGGGGGCAAGCGUUAUCCGGAUGUACUGGGUGUAAAGGGAGCGUAGACGGCGAUGCAAGUCUGAAGUGAAAGGCGGGGGCCCAACCCCUGGGCUGCUUUGGAAACUGUAUGGCUGGAGUGCAGGAGAGGUAAGUGGAAUUCCUAGUGUAGCGGUGAAAUGCGUAGAUAUUAGGAGGAACACCGGUGGCGAAGGCGGCUUACUGGACCGUAACUGACGUUGAGGCUCGAAAGCGUGGGGAGCAAACAGGAUUAGAUACCCCAGUAGUC